This 459-nucleotide ribosomal RNA is filed under the name uncultured bacterium. Its description in RNAcentral is "partial 16S ribosomal RNA". It matches the Rfam family "Bacterial small subunit ribosomal RNA", at positions 338 to 795 of the family's 1533-position model. The record is from RNAcentral.
CCUACGGGUGGCAGCAGUGAGGAAUAUUGGUCAAUGGUCGGGAGACUGAACCAGCCAAGCCGCGUGAGGGAUGAAGGUACAGAGUAUCGUAAACCUCUUUUGUCAGGGAACAAAGACGGGGACGUGUCCCCGGAUGAGUGUACCUGAUGAAAAAGCAUCGGCUAACUCCGUGCCAGCAGCCGCGGUAAUACGGAGGAUGCGAGCGUUAUCCGGAUUUAUUGGGUUUAAAGGGUGCGCAGGCGGUCUGUUAAGUCAGUGGUCAAAGCCCGGGGCUCAACCCGGGCCCGCCGUUGAAACUGGCAGUCUCGAGUUGGAGAGAGGUAUGCGGAAUGCGCGGUGUAGCGGUGAAAUGCAUAGAGAUCACGCAGAACACCGAUUGCGAAGGCAGCUUACCAGGCUGCUACUGACGCUGAGGCACGAGAGCGUGGGUAGCGAACAGGAUUAGAUACCCGAGUAGUC